Molecule: ribosomal RNA, 430 nt
Filed under: uncultured bacterium
Lineage: Bacteria
Description: bacterial SSU rRNA
Rfam family: Bacterial small subunit ribosomal RNA
Source: RNAcentral
UCAGGCCUAACACAUGCAAGUCGAGGGGUAGAAGGAGCUUGCUCCUUUGAGACCGGCGCACGGGUGCGUAACGCGUAUGCAAUCUACCUUUUACAGAGGGAUAGCCCAGAGAAAUUUGGAUUAAUACCUCAUAGUAUAUAACCUUCGCAUGUUGGUUAUAUUAAAGUUCCAACGGUAAAAGAUGAGCAUGCGUCCUAUUAGCUAGUUGGUGUGGUAACGGCACACCAAGGCAACGAUAGGUAGGGGUCCUGAGAGGGAGAUCCCCCACACUGGUACUGAGACACGGACCAGACUCCUACGGGAGGCAGCAGUGAGGAAUAUUGGACAAUGGGCGCAAGCCUUUCAAGGGCAUGCCGCGUGCAGGAAGACGGUCCUAUGGCUUUAAAGGGCUUUUGUACGGGAAGAAACACUCCUACGUGUAGGAGCUGAC